AUUGUCGUUAGACAGCUAUGUUUCUUUGAUCAUUGCUUGUGAGUCAUGAAAAUAGCCACUAGAUUUUCGUUAUGCUCAAGUUUUAUAGUAGUGAUAUAUAUUUUAAAGUGAUUCAAUUGAUAGUGUGUACUGGUGCUCAAAUUCUCUAUACAAAGACAAGACUCCAAAAUGUCAGGUCUAUAGUUUGAAAUUAUAGAACUUCAUAUAGAGGGUCUAUUAUUUUGUUUUUAUGAAAGUAAAAUCUUGGAAUCAUUUGAUUCGAGUCUAUUUUGUGUUCUAUUUAUCCCUAAUCCGUUGUAUGUGGCAUGGUUUUGAUUUGGCCUUCCUGGUUCUGAUUUUUGGCUUGAGUUAGCAUUGCAUGGCCAUGAACUCUUUGAUUUUGCAUAUUCGUUUUAUUUUGGAUUUCAUUUUUUUCAUAUCGAACCAAAUUAAUCUGUGUUAAUAUGUUCAAGUUCUGAGUAAAAGUUUCUGGUUGAUUUACCGUUUCCAUGUUGGAUGAUAUGUUAAGUGUCCCUUUGCAAAGAACAAUAAUAAAUAUGGAGAGGUUAUCAAAGAGAGGACGGAUGGUGUUAGAUGAGAUCAUUUAAUGGGUCCUACUAAUGGAGGACCAAUUUACAUCAUGCACUGAAGAAAACUUGAUUGAGGCACUUGUAAGCAAAAGGAAAAUCUACAAGAUGAAACAAUUUGGUCAAAUCCUGGUCUUCAAAUCUGCUUGAACUGAUCAACUAGUUGGUUACCUAUGCUGAGAAUUUCCAAUUCUGUAACUGAUUUUGCUGAGAAGAUGCUCAAGGCGCAAAUUCAGUGAGGAAUUAAGGACCAAUAAUAAUUAUUGUUCAGUGUCAGAAAUUUCAUGGGGACCCUUGUAGCCAACGUCAAAUUUGCCCGAUGGAAGAAGUGCGACAUCUUUUGGUUUUCACAUUUCCUUGGUGAUAACAUCUGAUGUAUAAUUCCAUUUCCUACUGGCCCUUUGAAUAGAACAAAUUGUAACAACAGAUUUUGCCACUUACUGAUAAGUUGUGAGAUCAAGACUUUCAUGUACUUGUCGUUUGAGGUAUUGUUAUAAGGUACUUGUUUUAUA
Long non-coding RNA from Mangifera indica (mango), 1078 nucleotides. RefSeq lists it as uncharacterized. The transcript is spliced from 4 exons. Lineage: Eukaryota; Viridiplantae; Streptophyta; Magnoliopsida; Sapindales; Anacardiaceae. The record is from RefSeq and is a predicted model, not a curated record.